CACAUAAUCUUUUGAGAGCAAAUCUAGAAAUACUGGUGAUGAAGAAGAAGACGAGGAGGGGGAAGAGGAGGAUCUUGAGAAUGUGGAAGCUAAUGUUGAUGAGCUUAUCCCCGAAUGUCCCAAGACCUACUUCUUUGGUUGCUCGUUAGUGACCCAACGGGACAUUGGCUUUUAUGUGGAGAAAGGUUAUUUUGCCGAUGGUGAUUGCAGAGCUCCGAACGAAGAAGAAAUUCCUGUUCCGAAACCUAAUGAGACUGCAGUAUUUUGUGACUUCUUUAUUUCUGGACCGAGAUUUCAUCUUGAAAAGGUUGUUGUUGAUAUUCUCAAUGCCUUCAAGGUUCAGCUGCACCAAC
This 353-nucleotide long non-coding RNA is filed under the name Setaria viridis. Its description in RNAcentral is "long non-coding RNA (SVIR_LNC011375)". The record is from RNAcentral. Lineage: Eukaryota; Viridiplantae; Streptophyta; Magnoliopsida; Poales; Poaceae.